Molecule: ribosomal RNA, 347 nt
Filed under: Nematoda environmental sample
Lineage: Eukaryota; Metazoa; Nematoda
Description: bacterial SSU rRNA
Rfam family: Eukaryotic small subunit ribosomal RNA
Source: RNAcentral
GGUGGAGUGACUUGUCUGGUUAAUUCCGAUAACGAACGAGACUCUAGCCUACUAAAUAGAUUGCCGGCUUACAUUGACACGCCGGCAACUCGCUUCUUAGAGGGAUUUGCGGUGUUUAGCCGAAAGAAAUUGAGCAAUAACAGGUCUGUGAUGCCCUUAGAUGUCCGGGGCUGCACGCGCGCUACACUGGCAAAAUCAACGUGCUUGUCCUUCCCCGAAAGGGGCGGGUAAACCAUUGAAAAUUUGCCGUGAUUGGGAUCGGAAAUUGCAAUUAUUUUCCGUGAACGAGGAAUUCCAAGUAAGUGCGAGUCAUCAGCUCGCGUUGAUUACGUCCCUGCCCUUUGUAC